This 207-nucleotide ribosomal RNA is filed under the name uncultured bacterium. RNAcentral's name for it is "partial 16S ribosomal RNA". It matches the Rfam family "Bacterial small subunit ribosomal RNA", at positions 568 to 774 of the family's 1533-position model. The record is from RNAcentral.
AGCGUAGACGGAUGGACAAGUCUGAUGUGAAAGGCUGGGGCUCAACCCCGGGACUGCAUUGGAAACUGCCCGUCUUGAGUGCCGGAGAGGUAAGCGGAAUUCCUAGUGUAGCGGUGAAAUGCGUAGAUAUUAGGAGGAACACCAGUGGCGAAGGCGGCCUACUGGGCACCAACUGACGCUGAGGCUCGAAAGUGUGGGUAGCAAACA